AAGCCUACACAUGACUCAGUGAGAAAGAAUGGACAGCCCAACAGAUCAACACCCACGGCCAAUGAUACAUCAGAACACACUUCAUCACAGAUGACAGGAGGAAAGUGAAGUGGGAGGUGAAUGAUGUGCAAAGGACCAUGGAAUGUGGAACCUUGCCCAGCCUGCUGCUCAGGAGGCGAUUGCUCAAGGCUGUCUUAUGCAGAGGAGGUCAACAGUUGACCCAUGAACCAUUUAAACUGGAAGGAAGAAUUAACCAAUACCCUGAGAGAUUGACUACAACUACUUUUUCCUGAAAGUUAGAGUGCAGAGUACAGGAGAGGAAGGCCAUUUACUAAUUUUCCUGCUUCCUUCACCAGUCCUCUACCUCUCCAUACCUAAGGUCCUUCACUCAAUAUACUCAAGUCUUCUCUGCUAUGUCUGCAUUCCCACAUGCCACGGCAUAUAAAAGGUAGGAUAAGGAGUUCCAUCACUUCACACAAGCAUCUACCAGGAGGAGGAAAAUAAAAACAUUUUACCAUCAACUUCGCCACUUGCUGUGAAACCGAAGGCUUGUUAUAUAAGCGUUUGGGGACAUAAUGAAUGUGACUUACAUAUGUCAUCUGGGAGACAUGGUGUUUAUAUUUCUUGAGUUGAAUUGGGGCAGAAAAAUAAUGGGCAUCUAAAAUGCUCAAUAAUUGAGAGAAACUUUAAAAGUUAUUCCUCACCCUAGUUUGUCUAAUAUCUAUCUUUAUCAUCUUAUUUGUCAGUUCCUUGGGAAAUUAAGAAAUUUAGAAAUUUCUACUGAAAUAAAAU
RNAcentral lists this long non-coding RNA (792 nucleotides) under Homo sapiens (human). RNAcentral describes it as "HSALNT0113335". Lineage: Eukaryota; Metazoa; Chordata; Mammalia; Primates; Hominidae. The record is from RNAcentral.